Molecule: ribosomal RNA, 465 nt
Filed under: uncultured bacterium
Lineage: Bacteria
Description: partial 16S ribosomal RNA
Rfam family: Bacterial small subunit ribosomal RNA
Source: RNAcentral
GACGAACGCUGGCGGCGUGCUUAACACAUGCAAGUCGUACGGUAAGGCCCUUUCGGGGGUACACGAGUGGCGAACGGGUGAGUAACACGUGAGUAACCUGCCCACAACUUUGGGAUAACGCUAGGAAACUGGUGCUAAUACUGGGUAUGUGCUCCUGCUGCAUGGUGGGGGUUGGAAAGCUCCGGCGGUUGUGGAUGGACUCGCGGCCUAUCAGCUUGUUGGUGGGGUAGUGGCCUACCAAGGCGGCGACGGGUAGCCGGCCUGAGAGGGUGACCGGCCACAUUGGGACUGAGAUACGGCCCAGACUCCUACGGGAGGCAGCAGUGGGGAAUAUUGCACAAUGGGCGCAAGCCUGAUGCAGCAACGCCGCGUGCGGGAUGACGGCCUUCGGGUUGUAAACCGCUUUCAGCAGGGACGAAGCUUUUUGUGACGGUACCUGCAGAAGAAGCACCGGCUAACUACGUG